Molecule: ribosomal RNA, 254 nt
Filed under: uncultured bacterium
Lineage: Bacteria
Description: partial 16S ribosomal RNA
Rfam family: Bacterial small subunit ribosomal RNA
Source: RNAcentral
UACGGAGGGAGCUAGCGUUGUUCGGAAUUACUGGGCGUAAAGCGCACGUAGGCGGCUACUCAAGUCGGGGUGAAAGCCCGGGGCUCAACCCCGGAACUGCCCUCGAAACUAGGUAGCUAGAAUCUUGGAGAGGUCAGUGGAAUUCCGAGUGUAGAGGUGAAAUUCGUAGAUAUUCGGAAGAACACCAGUGGCGGAAAGGCGACUGACUGGACAAGUAUUGACGCUGAGGUGACGAAGCGUGGGGAGCAAACAGG